This 466-nucleotide ribosomal RNA is filed under the name uncultured bacterium. RNAcentral describes it as "partial 16S ribosomal RNA". It matches the Rfam family "Bacterial small subunit ribosomal RNA", at positions 28 to 507 of the family's 1533-position model. The record is from RNAcentral.
GAUGAACGCUGGCGGCGUGCUUAACACAUGCAAGUCGAACGAUGAAGCCCAGCUUGCUGGGUGGAUUAGUGGCGAACGGGUGAGUAACACGUGAGUAACCUGCCCUUAACUCUGGGAUAAGCCUGGGAAACUGGGUCUAAUACCGGAUAGGAGCGCCUACCGCAUGGUGGGUGUUGGAAAGAUUUAGCGGUUUUGGAUGGACUCGCGGCCUAUCAGCUUGUUGGUGGGGGAGUGGCUCACCAAGGGAAAGACGGAUAGCCGGCCUGAGAGGGUGACCAGCCACCCUGGGACUGAGAGACGGCGCAGAGUCCAACGGGAGGCAGCAGUGGGGAAUAUUGCACAAUGGGCGAAAGCCUGAUGCAGCGACGCCGCGUGAGGGAUGACGGCCUUCGGGUUGUAAACCUCUUUCAGUAGGGAAGAAGCGAAAGUGACGGUACCUGCAGAAGAAGCACCGGCUAACUACGUG